Molecule: ribosomal RNA, 254 nt
Filed under: uncultured bacterium
Lineage: Bacteria
Description: partial 16S ribosomal RNA
Rfam family: Bacterial small subunit ribosomal RNA
Source: RNAcentral
CGGACGGUGAGUAACGCGUGGAAAACCUGCCGUAUACUGGGGGAUAACACUUAGAAAUAGGUGCUAAUACCGCAUAAGCGCACAGCUUCGCAUGAAGCGGUGUGAAAAACUCUGGUGGUAUACGAUGGUUCCGCGUCUGAUUAGCUAGUUGGUGGGGUAAUGGCCUACCAAGGCAACGAUCAGUAGCCGGCCUGAGAGGGUGAACGGCCACAUUGGGACUGAGACACGGCCCAAACUCCUACGGGAGGCAGCAG